UACAGAGGUCUCAAGCGUUGUUCGGAUUCAUUGGGCGUAAAGGGUGCGUAGGCGGCGCGGUAAGUCGGGUGUGAAAUCUCGGAGCUUAACUCCGAAACUGCAUUCGAUACUGCGGUGCUUGAGGACUGGAGAGGAGACUGGAAUUCAUGGUGUAGCAGUGAAAUGCGUAGAGAUCGGCAGGAACACCCAGGGGGAAACCAGUCGACUGGGCAGCACCUGACGCUGAGGUGCGAGAGCGUGGGGAGCGAACCGG
This 253-nucleotide ribosomal RNA is filed under the name uncultured bacterium. Its description in RNAcentral is "partial 16S ribosomal RNA". It matches the Rfam family "Bacterial small subunit ribosomal RNA", at positions 524 to 776 of the family's 1533-position model. The record is from RNAcentral.